CCUACGGGGCGCAGCAGUAGGGAAUCUUUCACAAUGGGCGAAAGCCUGAUGGAGCAACGCCGCGUGCAGGAUGACGGCCUUCGGGUUGUAAACUGCUUUUAUAAGCGAGAAAUAUGAUGGUACCUUAUGACUACGGAUCGGCUAACUACGUGCCAGCAGCCGCGGUCAUACGUAGGAUCCGAGCAUUAUCCGGAGUGACUGGGGGUAAAGAGUUGCGUAGGUGGGAUAAUAAGUAGCUAGUGAAAUCUGGUGGUUCAACCAUUCAGACUAUUAGCUAAACUGUUAAGCUCGAGACCGUUAGGGGUAACUGGAAUGUCUAGUGUAGGAGUGAAAUCCGUAGAGAUUAGAAGGAACACCAAUAGCGUAGGCAGGUUGCUGGGACGGUUCUGACACUAAGGCACGAAAGCGUAGGGAGCAAACGGGAUUAGAUACCCGAGUAGUC
Molecule: ribosomal RNA, 442 nt
Filed under: uncultured bacterium
Lineage: Bacteria
Description: partial 16S ribosomal RNA
Rfam family: Bacterial small subunit ribosomal RNA
Source: RNAcentral